UACGUAGGGGGCAAGCGUUGUCCGGAUUUAUUGGGCGUAAAGAGCGUGUAGGCGGCCCGACAGGUCCGUUGUGAAAACUCGAGGCUCAACCUCGAGACGUCGAUGGAAACCGUCGGGCUAGAGUCCGGAAGAGGAGAGUGGAAUUCCUGGUGUAGCGGUGAAAUGCGUAGAUAUCUGGAGGAACACCGGUGGCGAAGGCGGCAUCCUGGACCGGCAUUGACGCUGAGGCGCGAAAGCCAGGGGAGCAAACGGG
This 253-nucleotide ribosomal RNA is filed under the name uncultured bacterium. RNAcentral's name for it is "partial 16S ribosomal RNA". It matches the Rfam family "Bacterial small subunit ribosomal RNA", at positions 524 to 776 of the family's 1533-position model. The record is from RNAcentral.